GAUGAACGCUGGCGGCGUGCCUAAUACAUGCAAGUCGAACGCUUCACUUCGGUGAAGAGUGGCGAACGGGUGAGUAAUACAUAAGUAACCUGGCAUCUACAGGGGGAUAACUGAUGGAAACGUCGGCUAAGACCGCAUAGGUGUAGAGAUCGCAUGAACUCUAUAUGAAAAGUGCUACGGGACUGGUAGAUGAUGGACUUAUGGCGCAUUAGCUGGUUGGUAGGGUAACGGCCUACCAAGGCGACGAUGCGUAGCCGACCUGAGAGGGCGACCGGCCACACUGGGACUGAGACACGGCCCAGACUCCUACGGGAGGCAGCAGUAGGGAAUUUUCGGCAAUGGGGGAAACCCUGACCGAGCAACGCCGCGUGAAGGAAGAAGUAAUUCGUUAUGUAAACUUCUGUCAUAGAGGAAGAACGGUGGAUAUAGGGAAUGAUAUCCAAGUGACAGUACUCUAUAAGAAAGCCACGGCUAACUACGUGCCAGCCGCCGCAGUAA
Molecule: ribosomal RNA, 498 nt
Filed under: uncultured bacterium
Lineage: Bacteria
Description: partial 16S ribosomal RNA
Rfam family: Bacterial small subunit ribosomal RNA
Source: RNAcentral